UACAGAGGGGGCAAGCGUUAUUCGGAAUUAUUGGGCGUAAAGGGCGCGUAGGCGGCCAUUCAAGUGACGGGUGAAAGCCCUCGGCUUAACCGAGGAACUGCCUGUCAGACUGGAUGGCUUGAGACCGGGAGAGGUGAGUGGAAUUCCUGGUGUAGCGGUGAAAUGCGCAGAUAUCAGGAAGAACACCCGUGGCUAAGGCGGCUCUCUAGUACGGUACUGACGCUGAGACGCGAAAGCGUGGGGAGCGAACAGG
This 253-nucleotide ribosomal RNA is filed under the name uncultured bacterium. Its description in RNAcentral is "partial 16S ribosomal RNA". It matches the Rfam family "Bacterial small subunit ribosomal RNA", at positions 524 to 776 of the family's 1533-position model. The record is from RNAcentral.